RNAcentral lists this long non-coding RNA (469 nucleotides) under Amborella trichopoda. RNAcentral describes it as "long non-coding RNA (ATRI_LNC002191)". Lineage: Eukaryota; Viridiplantae; Streptophyta; Magnoliopsida; Amborellales; Amborellaceae. The record is from RNAcentral.
UCAUCUAAAAACUUACAGUUAUCUAUGAGGUUUGAAAGCUAAAUUCGGUUCCAUGGAGACCCUUCUGGCUCAAUUUUAGGCGGAUGCACUCACUCAUAUACCUCUUAGGCACAAUGAGCAAGUGAACACUUUAGCAAAGCUAGGAGAUGAUAUGAUUCUCUUCUCCAAGGCCUAUAUGAUCUGGUAUCAGAGUGGUGAUUGGUAUCACCAUAACUAGGGUUUGAUUAUGAUGAUGAGCAACGGUUGUUCCCAGAGUAUCAGAUAUAAAGACAUGCGCUAGACACGACACCCGUAUCUUUGUCCAUGUAACACUAGAAGUACAACUUUAUUUAUUGGAUCAUAUUUGCAACUCCUCAAAAGGAUAUCCUCCUUUUCCUUAGGGAGGACAUGGUCAGACAAUGAGGCAUAAUACUAAUAUUUAUAGAUUAGCCUCAAGGUGUCGUAGAUUUUUUUUUUGGGUUAAUUUAGU